UUUAUAGAGAGUUUGAUCCUGGCUCAGGAUGAACGCUGGCGGCGUGCCUAACACAUGCAAGUCGAACGGAAGCAAUUGGAGUUUACUUUAAUUGCUUUAGUGGCGGACGGGUGAGUAACACGUGAGCAACCUGCCUUUCAGAGGGGGAUAACGUUUGGAAACGAACGCUAAU
This 172-nucleotide ribosomal RNA is filed under the name Klebsiella oxytoca. Its description in RNAcentral is "partial 16S ribosomal RNA". It matches the Rfam family "Bacterial small subunit ribosomal RNA", at positions 1 to 167 of the family's 1533-position model. The record is from RNAcentral. Lineage: Bacteria; Pseudomonadati; Pseudomonadota; Gammaproteobacteria; Enterobacterales; Enterobacteriaceae.